This 774-nucleotide ribosomal RNA is filed under the name uncultured Neocallimastigales. RNAcentral describes it as "partial large subunit ribosomal RNA". It matches the Rfam family "Eukaryotic large subunit ribosomal RNA", at positions 23 to 644 of the family's 3401-position model. The record is from RNAcentral. Lineage: Eukaryota; Fungi; Neocallimastigomycota; Neocallimastigomycetes; Neocallimastigales.
ACACGCAUGACACACUGCAUAUCAAUAAGCGGAGGAAAAGAAACUAACAAGGAUUCCCUUAGUAACGGCGAGUGAAGCGGGAAGAGCUCAAAUUUGAAAUCUUCAAGGUUCUACCUUGACGAAUUGUAGUUUAUAGAAGUGUUUUCUGUUAGUAGAGUGGCAAAAGUUCUUUGGAAUAGGACAUCAUAGAGGGUGAGAAUCCCGUAUUUGGUCAUUCCUUCUAGCUUUGUGAUACACUUUCAACGAGUCGGAUUGUUUGGGAAUGCAGUCCAAAAUGGGUGGUAAAUUUCAUCUAAAGCUAAAUAUUGGCGAGAGACCGAUAGCGAACAAGUACCGUGAGGGAAAGAUGAAAAGAACUUUGAAAAGAGAGUUAAACAGUACGUGAAAUUGUCAAAAGGGAAGCGUUUGACACCAGUGUUGUUUUUCCGAAAAUCAAUUACGAAUGUUUUGUUUUUAAGAAGUUAUGACUUCAUCGGCUUGCUUCUUUCUUUACGAAACUUUCUUAAUGCACUUUUCGGUUAACAAGUCAACAUCAAUUUCUUUUGUUGUAAAAGGGUAUGAGGAAGGUGGCUUUCUUUUCGGAGAAAGUGUUUAUAGCCUUGUGCCUCUGCAAUCGGAGAGAUUGAGGUCUGCAGCGUAGAUCCUUCGGGGUUAGAUGCAUUUGUGCUAAGUUAUAGCCUUUCAUAGACAACUUGUUGACUAUGAUCAGUCAUGUAGCUUACUCGCUUAUGCUAUUUUACCUACGCUUAGGAUGUUGACUGAUAUGUAGUCGUA